RNAcentral lists this long non-coding RNA (476 nucleotides) under Trifolium pratense (red clover). RNAcentral's name for it is "long non-coding RNA (TPRA_LNC008491)". Lineage: Eukaryota; Viridiplantae; Streptophyta; Magnoliopsida; Fabales; Fabaceae. The record is from RNAcentral.
UGAGCUUGAACUCGAGGGUUCAUACCAAGCGGCAUAAAUUCAAGAGAAGUUAUCUGAUCCGACUCGAGUGAUUAAUUUCUGCUAUCGUUCGAGUUAUUUAUACAAGGUAAAUUGUGGGUUUACAUUUUUACCCCAAUUUUCCUUUUCUUUUCAUAUGGUGGUGGGAAUUGGGAAAUUUGAGGAAUGAGAUAUUUUUUUAGGCCAUCUUAGUUGUAUUGUAUUUAAUUUACGUGCAUUAUAUUAUGCACUAGAAAAAAAGGUUCAAUUUUACAAUGCUCCAAGGAUGCUAAGGAGAUGGCUACAAUCGAGUCGUCCCGAGUUGGAUCGGAGUGGAGGUCGCGAGUUGAUGAUGAUCAUUAUUUAUUUUCAUUUCCGGUAACUAUUGUAAACCAUUGUGUAUGUAAUCUUAUUCAUGUUCAUGAAAUGAAAUGGAACUGUAGAGAAUAUUUAAUUUUCAAAUUUCUUCGUACUUUCCC